RNAcentral lists this ribosomal RNA (342 nucleotides) under uncultured bacterium. RNAcentral's name for it is "bacterial SSU rRNA". It matches the Rfam family "Bacterial small subunit ribosomal RNA", at positions 8 to 334 of the family's 1533-position model. The record is from RNAcentral.
AGGGUUCGAUCAUGGCUCAGGACGAACGCUGGCGGCGUGCCUAAUACAUGCAAGUCGAACGAACCGCGACUGAGUGCUUGCACUUGGUCAAGGUGAGUGGCGAACGGGUGAGUAACACGUGGGUAACCUACCUCAUAGUGGGGGAUAACAGUCGGAAACGACUGCUAAUACCGCAUAGGACAUGGAAUCACAUGAUUCAGUGAGGAAAGGUGGCGCAAGCUAUCGCUAAGAGAUGGACCCGCGGUGCAUUAGCUAGUUGGUAGGGUAACGGCCUACCAAGGCGAUGAUGCAUAGCCGACCUGAGAGGGUGAUCGGCCACAUUGGGACUGAGACACGGCCCAA